Molecule: long non-coding RNA, 348 nt
Filed under: Musa acuminata (dwarf banana)
Lineage: Eukaryota; Viridiplantae; Streptophyta; Magnoliopsida; Zingiberales; Musaceae
Description: long non-coding RNA (MACU_LNC007613)
Source: RNAcentral
UGAAAUGAUAAAAGGAGUACCCGACAAGGCAUAUAAAAGAAGCGAACUCUAAGCUAAGUACCCGGAAACACAUAUAAAAGAAUCGAACUCUAAGCUAAGUACCCAGCAAGGCAUAUAAAUCUAACUCUACCAGAAUAAACAAGGAUACUAUUAGUCAAGGCAAGCACAUAAUGAAUAUGAUCUCUAUAUGAGUGUUAGCAUUUAUCGAUAAAGAGAAUAUGUUUCGCUAUUUGGAAGUGGUUGUUAUUUUCUUCUGAGUAAUGAAAGAACUCGCUCUGAAUUUGGGGGUUCUGGAAUUCCCCUAUCAACAUGAAUAAAGAACUAUACCCCUAUAAACAUGAAUCAUCA